This is an RNA transcript of Vigna angularis (adzuki bean), 3530 nucleotides long. It is a transcript of the gene named receptor-like protein 12, with no coding region annotated. Lineage: Eukaryota; Viridiplantae; Streptophyta; Magnoliopsida; Fabales; Fabaceae. The transcript is spliced from 2 exons. The record is from RefSeq and is a predicted model, not a curated record.
UUUGAUACUCACAGAAUUCUAUCCAUCAGUUUUUGUGUGUGAUGAUAACACCCACAACAACCUCAAUGAAGAAUCCAGUUCGUUUCAGAUUCAUAAUGUUUGUGCUGUGUGUGGUGUCGCAGGUUGUUAAUGGUGAAGAGAAGAUUAGAUGCAUUCCAGAGGAGAGGGAAGCACUCCUCCAAUUCAAGGCAGCCAUUGUCGUUCACAACGGCAUGCUAUCAUCUUGGACCACUCCUCACUGCUGCCAAUGGGAGGGGAUUCGCUGCAGCAACCUCACCUCCCAUAUUAUAAGCCUCGACCUUCACGGAGACUUUCCUGUACAAUAUGAAUUCUAUGGACGUUAUAUGAGCGGAGAAAUCCACAAGUCGUUAAUUGAGUUGCCACAAUUACAGUAUUUGAACCUCAGUUCUAAUUAUUUUCGACACAGUCACAUCCCAGAGUUUCUUGGUUCUCUCAAAAAUUUGAAAUACCUUGAUCUCUCUUCAUGUUAUUUUGGCGGAAGAAUUCCAAGUCAAUUAGGCUCUCUUUCUCAUUUGGAAUAUUUAAAUCUUGCUUCUAAUUCUCUGAACGGAUCAAUCCCUUAUCAGCUUGGAAAUCUCUCCCAGUUGUAUUAUCUUGAUCUCAGUGGCAAUUAUUUCGAAGGAAAUAUACCUCCUCAACUUGGAAAUCUCUCCCAAUUGCAGCAUCUUGAUCUCAGACGCAAUUGUUUCGAAGGAAAUAUACCUCCUCAACUUGGAAAUCUCUCCCAAUUGCAUGAGCUCUAUCUUGGAGAAAAUUUGGACAAUCUCAAAAUUAGUGACGGAGGUCAGUGGCUCUCAAAUCUCAUUUCUUUAACCCAUCUUGACUUGGAUUCUGUAUCAAAUCUUAAUACUUCUCAUAUUUGGUUGCAAGUGAUUGCGAAGCUACCUGAACUAAGAGAACUAAGUUUAGUUGAUUGUAGCCUUUCCGACCAUUUCAUUCUUUCAUCCAAACAUUUUAAGUUCAAUUUCUCUACUUCCUUCUCUGUCCUUCAUCUUUCUUAUAACAUCUUCACAUCACCAAUGGUAUUCCAGUGGGUCUCAAACAUCACUUCCAACCUUGUUGAGCUUUACCUUAGUGGCAACCACUUGGAGGGUUCCACAUCAAGUGAUUUUGGCAUCGUCAUGAAUUCGCUUAGGCAUCUUGACCUCUCACUUAAUAAUUUAAAGGUCAGGGAUUUGAAAUCCUUCAUUAAUAUAUGCACUUUACAUUCUUUAUACAUGGAGUCAAACAGUUUGACAGAAGACCUUCCCUCCAUUCUCGGUAAUUUGUCCAGUGGAUGCGUUAGACACUCAUUGCAAGAAUUGGAUCUGUCAGGGAAUAACAUCACUGGCACUUUGUCUGACAUUUCAGUAUUCUCCUCUUUGAAAACAUUGCUUCUUGAAAUAAAUCGGUUAACUGGAAGGAUACCGGAAGGUGUGAAGUUACCGUCCACUUUGGAGUAUUUGUCAGUUGGGUCAAAUUUCUUACAAGGUGGAAUUCCAAAAUCAUUUGGCAAUGCAUGUUCUUUGUUUUUAUUGGACAUCUCUAUGAAUGGCCUGACUGAUGAGCUUCCGAUGAUAAUUUCUCACUUGUCUGGAUGUGCUAGAUAUUCAUUGGAACAAUUAAGUCUAGGCAUGAAUCAAAUCAAUGGCACACUACCUGACUUCUCAACAUUCACAUCCUUAAAAAUAUUAUCUCUUCAGAACAAUAAGCUAAAUGGAGAGAUUCAUAAGGACAUUCAAUUUCCACCUAAAUUGGAGGAGCUCUACAUCUGUUCAAACUCUUUAAAGGGUAUGCUUACUGACUACCACUUUGCUAAUAUGUCUAAGUUAGAGCACUUGGAUUUAUCUGACAACUCAUUGGACUUGGCAUUUACUCAAAACUGGGUUCCACCUUUUCAAUUGCUAUCUAUAAACUUGAGAUCUUGCAAGCUAGGUCCAACAUUUCCCAUGUGGUUGCAGACACAAAAUAAAUUUGUCAUUAUUGACAUUUCCAAUGCUACAAUAUCAGGUAUUAUUCCUGAAUGGUUUUGGGCUAAAUUACCUCUACAAAAAGUGAUGACAACGAAUAUUUCAUACAACAGUCUACAAGGUACAAUUCCAAAUGUUUCAUCCACGUAUGUUUCUACUUCCAUGCAUCUUGGAUCAAAUCAAUUUGAAGGUUCUAUUCCUCUAUUUUUACGAAACUCUCAAAUUCUUGAUUUAUCAAAAAAUAAAUUCUCAAAUCCUCUUUCAUUUUUGUGUGAAGAUUAUGCAAUUUCAGUUCAUAUUCAUUUAGACAUUUCGUAUAAUCACUUAUCCGGAGAUAUCCCAGAUUGUUGGAAACAAAUUAACUCAUUAGUUUAUUUAGAUUUGAGUUACAAUAACUUUUCAGGAAGAAUUCCAACUUCAAUAGGAUGGCUUCUUGAUCUUCAAGUAUUAUUGUUGAGAAACAACAAUUUAGUAGAAGGAAUCCCUUUCUCCAUAAGAAAUUGCACAAAGCUAGUAAUGUUUGAUUUGUCAGAAAACAAAUUAUCAAGAUCUAUCCCUGAUUGGAUUGGGACAAAAAAAGAGUUGCAAAUAUUAAAUCUGAGAAAGAAUCAAUUCUUUGGGAGUUUACCAUUAACGGUUUGUUGUCUAAGAAACCUUCAUCUCUUGGAUCUCUCACUAAACAACUUAUCUGGAAAAAUUCCGAAAUGCAUAAACAACCUUACUUCAAUGGCUCAAACGACAUCUUCAAUAUUUGAUGAAAGGCAUGAGUAUGUGUUGAAAAAUGGUUAUUUUGGUCACUUAAAACAAUACUAUUUGAAUACAUGGUUGACAUGGAAAGGUUCGAAACAAAUGUUUAUGGAUAAUGGUUUGUCACUUCUAAAAAACAUUGAUAUCUCAAGUAAUCAGUUCUCAGGAGAAAUUCCUAUAGAAAUAGAGAAAUUAUCUAGACUGAUUUCAUUGAACUUAUCAAGAAACAAUUUGAUUGGAAAAAUUCCUUCAAACAUUGGAAACAUAACAUUACUUGAUUCUCUUGAUUUGUCAAGAAAUCGACUUGUUGGUUCAAUUCCUCGAAGUCUCGCUCAAAUUUAUGGACUUGGUGUAUUAGAUUUGUCUCAUAAUCAUCUAAGUGGAGAAAUUCCUUCAAGCACACAAUUGCAGAGUUUCAAUAAAUCUAGUUAUGAAGAUAAUCUUGAUCUUUGUGGACCACCACUUGAAAAAUUGUGUAUUAUUGAUGGGGAGCUAACACAAAAACCAAAUGUUAAUGUUUGAAAAGAUGAUUAUUCAUUUUUCAAUAAUGAAUUUUUCAUAAGUAUGGCAAUUGGAUUUGCUCUAAGUUUUUGGACAGUGUUUGGCUCAAUCUUAUUCAAACGUUCUUGGCAACUGUCUUAUUUCAACUUCUUGAACAACUUAGAAGACAAUGUUCACGUCAAAAUAGCAAUUUUUGUCAGAGUACUUAAGCAGGACAAGGAUUACAAGUAGUUGGAAGAAAUCUAUGCAUCAAAUGAAGGCACUAGAACCCAAGGAAAGCAAGAAAAACAACAAAAAAUGAAGAACUAUAAU